UAUACAUCAAGUUCGCUGUUGAGUGGCUGGACGGAACGUCUCGUCUCUUGUCGUUGAUUGUCGGUUUCACCAGAUCGUUGUGAUUUAUUAAUUGUGCCUAAUUUCACUGUUAAAUCCGUGGAACUUGUCCGGCGUCUGCACCAAGGAUGUCGUUGUUCUCGGGUGGGGCGCAGGAAUGUACUGGCGAAGAGAGCGGGGAUGGUGGCCACUGUCACUCAAAGGACGCCAUGGCGACAGCCGAGAUGUUUUCGGCAGAGCAGCAGUUGCUCUUCAAUGCCUCGGGGCAUGGCCCAUCCCCAUGGCAACCGGUCAGCCCAAAUCAGCACACGUACAUUGGCAUCUACCUGAUCAUUGUUGGUGUUCUGGGAACCUUCGACAAUGCUCUUGUGGUGGCCAUGUUCCUGCGAUUCAGAGUCCUCCUGACGCCGUCCAAUCUUCUCCUCCUGAACCUCUGCAUAUCCGACUUAGGGAUCUGCCUUCUUGGAGGUUUCCCCUUCAGUGGUGUCUCCUCCUUAGCUGGCCGGUGGCUCUACGGUGACUUCGGAUGUCAGUACUACGCCUUCAUGGGGUUCCUGAUGGGGAUGGCCAACGUCACAACACUCCUCAUGAUUGCUCUCGAUCGGUACCUCGUCACUUGCAGGCAUGACUUACGUGGAAAACUGACGUACAGACGCUACUGUCAGAUGAUCAUCUUCAUCUGGUGUUGGUCUCUCUUCUGGUCGGUGUGUCCUCUCCUCGGAUGGGGAAGCUACGGCUAUGAGCCUUCUGUGACGACUUGCACCAUCAACUGGCAGAAGAACGACACGAGUUACAAGUGGUACAUCAUGACCCUCACCGUCCUGGGUUACGUCAUCCCCUUGAUCCUCAUCUGCUCCUGCUACUAUCAGGCCUCCAGGUUCCUCCACAGGGCUCGCGAGUCUGGGGAGUCCGUCUACGCCUACGACUGGGCAACUGAAAGGAACGUGACAAGGAUGGGCAUCAUCCUAGUGCUGGCUUUCAUGGUCUUCUGGAGUGCCUACGCUGUCGUCUGCAUCUGGACCGUAUUCAGGCAUCCUUAUACAGUCCCUCUCAUCCUUACUCUCCUUCCUCCUCUCUUGGCAAAGGCAUCUCCAGUUCUGAACCCCAUCAUCUACUACUACUCUCACCCUCGCCUGAAGAAGGGAAUGAUGGCCACGCUUACCUGCUGCUUCCGCGACCCUCCUCCAGAGCUCCUGGAACUCCCCGAGACCAAGAGCAUGACUGAACACAAAUGACACUUCCAAGCAAGGAUACUCGCGCACUCCUUGGGAUGUAUCCACAACCAGUGCCUCAGGGACAGACCCAAUCCUGGGGGCGUUGAUUUAGAUGGGCACAUUCCAAAUCAUGUGCAUUAUAUCCCAGAGGAGCAGUACGAAUUGAGUCGUGAACGGUGGUAGUUUUAGGUGAAAAGAUUGUGAGAGGUACUUGGUUUGUCUGAGGAUAUGAGCAGCUCUUGACUGUUUUUGUGUGUGCGCCUUAAUCUCGUCAAAUUAAAAGUAUCAGAUCUCUAAUUCACUCUGUUAAUUAUGGUAAAAUUUUCAUUUCCAGUGAAGAAUGGUAUAUAUUUUUGCGGGGUUUCUAGGUAACAAAGUUUUCCAAAUGUGAAAAAUUAUUUUUUUUAAUAUUGAUAGACGUGAUUACAUAUGAUUAAGAGUUAUUAAGAAAUUAGAAUGUCGUAUUUUACGCAGUUUGCGCCGCUCCUAGUUUCGUUGCUGAAGAAAUUCGAUAAUCAAGACUUUUAAAUGCACGAGGAAGGAUUAAGAUUCACACGUUUGUUGUGCGAUUACUCGUAAUCGAAGGUGAGAAUCCUGACAUUCUGUCAGUGACCAAAUAUUUUGGAAUUUUAUGAAAUGAAACAUGAGUGAAAUGUUCGUGGUGACUGUUUGACGAAGGUCUCGAAGUACGUAUGUAAAUUUUGCCUUUGACGAAGCUCUUGUGAGUAGCUUCUACCUCAGUAGCAGAGAACUUUGAAGAAAGUUUUCUCAUAGACUAAUUGUAAACCAUAGUUAUGAAAAAAUGAUAGCAAAUAAUUUGAUUUUUAUACAGAUUAAAACCAACCAUCUGAGAUAGACACCGCAGGAGUUUGUUCAUGUAGCAGAUAUAAGCUUAGAGGGAAUGGGUGCUCAUAAGCUUUACCCAUUCGCUUUUAUCAGCUGUUAAUACACUUGUUGUAGAGCUAUGAUAAACUUUGCUCGCGCGUUUGUGUGUGUGUGUAUGUAUGUAUGUUUCUGUGUGUGUGAGAGGGAGAGAAAAGAGGGGGAGAGAGAGUAUGACAGUCUUUUCUCGCUGCUUCCAUAAGUCAAAAACCCAGUUAGUCUCAAACGUGUAGCUGGUCUGAAAGCCUAAAGCGCAAACCUCUACCGACCAAAUUUAAGGGUUUAUCAGAAAGAGGCACGAUUCUCUAAGGCCAUUAAUUACUUCAAAAAAAAUUAAUAUAGAUAAAAAAUAAAAAAAAACGUGGAGUAGAGGACAAAAGACUUGUGCUUGAAAUUUCUUGAAAAGCCCUAUUUUUCGCCGGCAGUUAGGCCUGAAGCACGGCUACUGGGAUUUUGACGCAUAUAUAAGACAUAAAUGACCUGUAGGCUUUAGUUCAAAGAUUAGCCGGGCUUGGAAUCUUAGCGCUCAUUACCUUCCAUAGACAUUGCUCAAGUAUAAACGGGAUGCUGCGACCCUGCUUCUCAGUCAUCUUGAAUUGACCCUGGAGAUUUUCCAUUGCUUUUGGCUUUUGCUUGGCAUAGCAAGAACUUAAUUUCUCGUCUUAACGAUUGAGAAUGCGUUAUGGUUUUCUUGGGUUUUUGCAGUAAUUUUAGUACGCAAGCUUACAUGGCUUUCAUUAUUUUAAUCCCAGUUCUAUAGGAAUUUUGUAAGCUUUUCAGUUUUGCUUCCUUGUUACUAUACUAGAUUUCUCUGUAUUCCCUGUCUUACCUAUUAUAUUUGUUCGUCCAAACCUGAAUGAUGUACAGAGACAUAUCCCAUAUUUCAUACAUUCUAUGAAAAAAAAAUAGUUUUUGGACACAGCUUUAUGUAUAUGGCUAAAGGGAGCGAACGGGAUAUUUCCAUGAAAGAUCCAUUGCAAGUACAGAGUUCUGUUGCUGCCAUGCCAAAGGACUUGGAAAUUAUGCUUCCAGUUUAAUUUUCGUGACGUAUUAAUGUAUCUCCUCUGACCUCUGUACUGAGGAGUCUUUGUGAGGCAAUCUUCACUCCUCCCUCAGAAUUUUGACGUGUCAUGAACGUUCGUUCCUCUGCAUCUUAAUUCAAGUAGGAAACAGAAAUUCUGCUUUUUUUGCGAGUGAAAUGUUAAGAGGAGUAGAAUGGCAUGCUAGCAAAACAAGGGACAUGUUCAAAGUUGACAGAAGUGAUGAAAUUAUAAGGCCGGGGUAAGGAGGGGAAUGACAGGUAUGCCGAGGUAAUAUGUUUCUUUCCUUAGUUUUCUCCUGAUCUUGUCUGUGACCAAACUCUGGGGAAGAACUUGUCAGUUCCAGCAGGGGAACCCCAAGUGUGAGGAGCUUCAAUGAAUGAAAGAAUUAAUCAAGUUUCUUUUUUAGUCUCAUUUUUAUAAGACAGUCUUCAUAUUCAUUCAUGCAAAGGUAUUGACAAUUAUGUUUCGUCAACUAAAUUUCGUUGUUGUUAUUCAAAGAGCUCCUAUAAAUGUAUUAUUUUAGAGUGGUAACGGUCAGCACAUCUAACUUCGAAUGGAUCUUGCUGAUGUGGAAUAAUGGAAGUAUCGGCAGUAUACGUAUGUAAAGAUGUAUUUGUAGAAAUAGACCCAUUCGCCCCGGACAAUAUUUUUGAAAUGAAUUUUUGACAUUUGCAUGAGUCCUACAGUCCAAGGUUCUCAUGGCAUACGUCAAAAUAAAAUACAAGUUAUUUUUUUAAUAUUAUAAUGCUGUAUUAUGUCAAUUGCAGUGAAGUACUACUUUAAGGGAUCCACGUAUUUUAUGUAGCCUAUAGGUAAUCAUUGUGAAUGAGUAUGAAUAAAUGCAUAACCUAAUAAAUAAACAUGCAGUAACAAAUACACCUUAUUUGCAUUAUAUAUAUAUAUAUAAUAUAUAUAUAUAUAUAUAUAUAUAUAUAUAUAUCACAAAAUCCACGUAAGAAGGUGAGUGAAAACCGGGACUUUGAAGGAGUACUUUCGUAAUUUCUUCUACAUUUUCAAGGUCACACUGAAUAUAAGAGAAAUUGACAGACCUUUAUAUACAAAAACAGAAGGGGGCCGUGGUUACAGUUUGUUAAUCUGGAUGGGGUGUUUUUAAGCAAAAGAGACAAGGAAAGAGGCUCAAGAUAUAAUCCAGGAUGGAGAUUACGUGGUUCGGAAGUCACGUAGAGCCGUUGGUCCCGUUGCUGAAUAACCACCGGUUCCAUGCAACGUAAAACCACCAUACAAACAAACAUACAUACAGGAUGGAGAUUAAAAUUACUUGUUGACCUGGCUUCAAUAAAAUUGGACGCCAACUGAUUCCUUUUGCGGUGAUCUUUGACCCUGCAUAUUAUAGAGAAAUUAUCCCAGUCAAUAUCAUGGCCUCUCUUAAGCCAAUCAUCCACAAUGCCAUUAUUUGUUAAGCCUCUUGAUGUAGCCUAUUUUGAGCUAAGGGCAACUCAGUUUUAGUCCUUUGGAUGUUUGACCAAUAUAAAUCUUAUUACAUUUUUAUAAAGAAUACUGUAUACAAUAUUGUUUGAAUUGGGCGGGCUAUUCUUUAAUAGUUUAUUUUUCAAAAUAUUAUAGAAUAAACUACGAAAGUGCUUCCCCAGUCUCAGAUUUCACUCCCCUUCAUACGUGGAUUUUGUGAUAUUCUCAAGCACUUUUUCCUUUUCCUUCGUGCUACAUUGAUAUGUAUGUAUGUAUGUAUGCAUAUAUAUAUAUAUAUAUAUAUAUAUAUAUAUAUAUAUAUAUAUAUAUAUAUAUAUAUUACCAGGUUUCCAUUAAUUGUACCGUAUUCACAAUCAUUUUUUUUUCACAAAGGAAAGCAUUUUUUCAUGUCAUUCCCGCGUCAACUUUCUUUUUAUGUUGCAAGGUUUUAUACUUAGGUAUUAAAAACAACGUACAAAAAGCGUUUCGUGACUUGCAUUUAUAGUGGCGACAGGACCAUUACUAUUGUUUCUGAAAGUAUAUUAUGCUCAAUAAUGUUCA
Macrobrachium nipponense is the source of this 5146-nucleotide RNA transcript. It is a transcript of the gene named visual pigment-like receptor peropsin, with no coding region annotated. Lineage: Eukaryota; Metazoa; Arthropoda; Malacostraca; Decapoda; Palaemonidae. The record is from RefSeq and is a predicted model, not a curated record. The transcript has 11 exons.